This 693-nucleotide long non-coding RNA is filed under the name Elaeis guineensis (African oil palm). RNAcentral's name for it is "long non-coding RNA (EGUI_LNC030076)". Lineage: Eukaryota; Viridiplantae; Streptophyta; Magnoliopsida; Arecales; Arecaceae. The record is from RNAcentral.
GUCUUUUCUCUUGUUCGAUAUCGACGUCGUUUGAAGGUUCCUGAUCAUCGCUGUGUUGACUCGCCCUUUUUGUUCAUAACCAAAGAUCUUUUCGAGGUCAUUCGAGUUUAACGCUUUCUCCCGGUAUUCGAGCUUGGGGCCCAAACUUCUCGUUACUUUGAGGAAGUCUAUUUUCUCCUGCUAGUGUUGGGUUCCCCCUUAGAGACUGAGAAUUUUUGACAAGAGUUUUCUUUCUCGUUGAGACGAGGUCUCUUAAGUCUUAGAUGUAGUUCAUUUUUUUCUUAUCUUUGGUGUAGCUCGUCGCUUUUCUUUUUCUCUCCCCCUUUCUUUAUGUUUGGGCGAGGGUUUUUUCUCUGCUCUUAACGGGAUUGUAGGGGAGUAGAGGAGCUGCUGAGGGAUUUUUUUCCUCAUCCGAUCUCAAACGAUCAAAUCUUUGUUUGUGUCAGGACAAGAUUCUCCUUCUGUUUCCGACACAAUCAAUUUCAGCUCAUGUUAGGAUGAGAUUUUUCUCCUAUUCCUAACAGGGCUGCGGGGGCACAUAAGGACCGUUGCAAGGACCUCUCCCUCCAUCCGAUCUCUGAAUAACUAGACCUUCGAUCUUGCUCAUGUUAGGAUGAGGUUCUCCUCCUGUUCCUAACAUAGCUGUGGGGGCCCAUAAGGGUCGUUGCAAGGACCUCUCCCCCCAUCCGGUCU